GACGAACGCUGGCGGCGUGCCUAAUACAUGCAAGUAGAACGCUGAAGGAGGAGCUUGCUUCUCUGGAUGAGUUGCGAACGGGUGAGUAACGCGUAGGUAACCUGCCUGGUAGCGGGGGAUAACUAUUGGAAACGAUAGCUAAUACCGCAUAAGAGUAGAUGUUGCAUGACAUUUGCUUAAAAGGUGCAAUUGCAUCACUACCAGAUGGACCUGCGUUGUAUUAGCUAGUUGGUGGGGUAACGGCUCACCAAGGCGACGAUACAUAGCCGACCUGAGAGGGGGAUGGGCCAACCUGGGACGGGGACAAGGCCCAAACCCCGAGGGGGGGCAGCAGAGGGGAAUCUUCGGAAAGGGGAGGAAGUCGGACCGAGCAACGCCGCGGGAGGGAAAAAGGUUUUGGGAUUGUAAAGCUCUGUUUUAAGGGAAAAAGGGUUGGGGGAGUGGAAAGUUCACACUGUGACGGUAUUUUACCAGAAAGGGGCGGCUAACUACGU
RNAcentral lists this ribosomal RNA (494 nucleotides) under uncultured bacterium. RNAcentral describes it as "partial 16S ribosomal RNA". It matches the Rfam family "Bacterial small subunit ribosomal RNA", at positions 28 to 506 of the family's 1533-position model. The record is from RNAcentral.